Molecule: signal recognition particle RNA, 97 nt
Filed under: Ostreibacterium oceani
Lineage: Bacteria; Pseudomonadati; Pseudomonadota; Gammaproteobacteria; Cardiobacteriales; Ostreibacteriaceae
Description: Bacterial small signal recognition particle RNA
Rfam family: Bacterial small signal recognition particle RNA
About the family: The signal recognition particle (SRP) is a universally conserved ribonucleoprotein involved in the co-translational targeting of proteins to membranes. Archaeal SRP consists of a 7S RNA and homologues of the eukaryotic SRP19 and SRP54 proteins. In most bacteria, the SRP consists of a 4.5S RNA and the Ffh protein (a homologue of the eukaryotic SRP54 protein).
Source: Rfam by way of RNAcentral
ACACUGGUCCUUCGUGACAACCAACUGUGAACCCCGUCAGGCCCGGAAGGGAGCAGCGGCAGCAGCGACGUUGUGCACCGAAGUCCGCUGGUGUAGC